AAUACAAUAUGUUUCAGGAUGGUUGCUGGAAAAAUGAAAAAUAAAAAAUAUAAAAACAGGCCCUCAGAGGGCCCAAAGGACCUGAGGUCAAAACCACUUUGUCAGAAGAGCUGUGUGUCCCCAUAAAAGACACAACCUCCACCGAGAGAGCUUUCACUGUAAGUGAUAAAGGCAGCCCAAGGAAAUAUUUUGAUCCCCUAUUAUACUGACAAAGAACGGAGAAGGAGAUUAAGUGAUUUGGCCAGAGCUCUCCAGGAAAUCUGAGUCUACGAGUCCUCAGCUUUAAUGUGCAAGACCAUCUUUCCUCUGCUAGGAAACAGAUGUUAAAUUGGAUGUUAAUUUUGCCAUGCAACUUUUUUAGAGAACUCUGAAAGGCAAAGAGUCUCCAAGAAUCAUUAUUUUAGCAAGCUACCAGCGCAGCAGUCUUGCAUCUCAAAAGUAAUUUGUUCCAUCUUUGUUGGCAGG
Molecule: long non-coding RNA, 465 nt
Organism: Gallus gallus (chicken)
Lineage: Eukaryota; Metazoa; Chordata; Aves; Galliformes; Phasianidae
Source: Ensembl